GGGUUGUGAGGUUAAGCGACUAAGCGUACACGGUGGAUGCCCUGGCAGUCAGAGGCGAUGAAGGACGUGCUAAUCUGCGAUAAGCGUCGGUAAGGUGAUAUGAACCGUUAUAACCGGCGAUUUCCGAAUGGGGAAACCCAGUGUGUUUCGACACACUAUCAUUAACUGAAUCCAUAGGUUAAUGAGGCGAACCGGGGGAACUGAAACAUCUAAGUACCCCGAGGAAAAGAAAUCAACCGAGAUUCCCCCAGUAGCGGCGAGCGAACGGGGAGGAGCCCAGAGUCUGAAUCAGUGUGUGUGUUAGUGGAAGCGUCUGGAAAGGCGCGCGAUACAGGGUGACAGCCCCGUACACAAAAAUGCACAUACUGUGAGCUCGAUGAGUAGGGCGGGACACGUGGUAUCCUGUCUGAAUAUGGGGGGACCAUCCUCCAAGGCUAAAUACUCCUGACUGACCGAUAGUGAACCAGUACCGUGAGGGAAAGGCGAAAAGAACCCCGGCGAGGGGAGUGAAAAAGAACCUGAAACCGUGUACGUACAAGCAGUGGGAGCACGCUUAGGCGUGUGACUGCGUACCUUUUGUAUAAUGGGUCAGCGACUUAUAUUCUGUAGCAAGGUUAACCGAAUAGGGGAGCCGAAGGGAAACCGAGUCUUAACUGGGCGUUAAGUUGCAGGGUAUAGACCCGAAACCCGGUGAUCUAGCCAUGGGCAGGUUGAAGGUUGGGUAACACUAACUGGAGGACCGAACCGACUAAUGUUGAAAAAUUAGCGGAUGACUUGUGGCUGGGGGUGAAAGGCCAAUCAAACCGGGAGAUAGCUGGUUCUCCCCGAAAGCUAUUUAGGUAGCGCCUCGUGAACUCAUCUCCGGGGGUAGAGCACUGUUUCGGCAAGGGGGUCAUCCCGACUUACCAACCCGAUGCAAACUGCGAAUACCGGAGAAUGUUAUCACGGGAGACACACGGCGGGUGCUAACGUCCGUCGUGAAGAGGGAAACAACCCAGACCGCCAGCUAAGGUCCCAAAGUCAUGGUUAAGUGGGAAACGAUGUGGGAAGGCCCAGACAGCCAGGAUGUUGGCUUAGAAGCAGCCAUCAUUUAAAGAAAGCGUAAUAGCUCACUGGUCGAGUCGGCCUGCGCGGAAGAUGUAACGGGGCUAAACCAUGCACCGAAGCUGCGGCAGCGACGCUUAUGCGUUGUUGGGUAGGGGAGCGUUCUGUAAGCCUGCGAAGGUGUGCUGUGAGGCAUGCUGGAGGUAUCAGAAGUGCGAAUGCUGACAUAAGUAACGAUAAAGCGGGUGAAAAGCCCGCUCGCCGGAAGACCAAGGGUUCCUGUCCAACGUUAAUCGGGGCAGGGUGAGUCGACCCCUAAGGCGAGGCCGAAAGGCGUAGUCGAUGGGAAACAGGUUAAUAUUCCUGUACUUGGUGUUACUGCGAAGGGGGGACGGAGAAGGCUAUGUUGGCCGGGCGACGGUUGUCCCGGUUUAAGCGUGUAGGCUGGUUUUCCAGGCAAAUCCGGAAAAUCAAGGCUGAGGCGUGAUGACGAGGCACUACGGUGCUGAAGCAACAAAUGCCCUGCUUCCAGGAAAAGCCUCUAAGCAUCAGGUAACAUCAAAUCGUACCCCAAACCGACACAGGUGGUCAGGUAGAGAAUACCAAGGCGCUUGAGAGAACUCGGGUGAAGGAACUAGGCAAAAUGGUGCCGUAACUUCGGGAGAAGGCACGCUGAUAUGUAGGUGAAGCGACUUGCUCGUGGAGCUGAAAUCAGUCGAAGAUACCAGCUGGCUGCAACUGUUUAUUAAAAACACAGCACUGUGCAAACACGAAAGUGGACGUAUACGGUGUGACGCCUGCCCGGUGCCGGAAGGUUAAUUGAUGGGGUCAGCGCAAGCGAAGCUCUUGAUCGAAGCCCCGGUAAACGGCGGCCGUAACUAUAACGGUCCUAAGGUAGCGAAAUUCCUUGUCGGGUAAGUUCCGACCUGCACGAAUGGCGUAAUGAUGGCCAGGCUGUCUCCACCCGAGACUCAGUGAAAUUGAACUCGCUGUGAAGAUGCAGUGUACCCGCGGCAAGACGGAAAGACCCCGUGAACCUUUACUAUAGCUUGACACUGAACAUUGAGCCUUGAUGUGUAGGAUAGGUGGGAGGCUUUGAAGUGUGGACGCCAGUCUGCAUGGAGCCGACCUUGAAAUACCACCCUUUAAUGUUUGAUGUUCUAACGUUGACCCGUAAUCCGGGUUGCGGACAGUGUCUGGUGGGUAGUUUGACUGGGGCGGUCUCCUCCUAAAGAGUAACGGAGGAGCACGAAGGUUGGCUAAUCCUGGUCGGACAUCAGGAGGUUAGUGCAAUGGCAUAAGCCAGCUUGACUGCGAGCGUGACGGCGCGAGCAGGUGCGAAAGCAGGUCAUAGUGAUCCGGUGGUUCUGAAUGGAAGGGCCAUCGCUCAACGGAUAAAAGGUACUCCGGGGAUAACAGGCUGAUACCGCCCAAGAGUUCAUAUCGACGGCGGUGUUUGGCACCUCGAUGUCGGCUCAUCACAUCCUGGGGCUGAAGUAGGUCCCAAGGGUAUGGCUGUUCGCCAUUUAAAGUGGUACGCGAGCUGGGUUUAGAACGUCGUGAGACAGUUCGGUCCCUAUCUGCCGUGGGCGCUGGAGAACUGAGGGGGGCUGCUCCUAGUACGAGAGGACCGGAGUGGACGCAUCACUGGUGUUCGGGUUGUCAUGCCAAUGGCACUGCCCGGUAGCUAAAUGCGGAAGAGAUAAGUGCUGAAAGCAUCUAAGCACGAAACUUGCCCCGAGAUGAGUUCUCCCUGACUCCUUGAGAGUCCUGAAGGAACGUUGAAGACGACGACGUUGAUAGGCCGGGUGUGUAAGCGCAGCGAUGCGUUGAGCUAACCGGUACUAAUGAACCGUGAGGCUUAACCUUACAACGCCGAAG
Molecule: ribosomal RNA, 2925 nt
Filed under: Escherichia coli
Lineage: Bacteria; Pseudomonadati; Pseudomonadota; Gammaproteobacteria; Enterobacterales; Enterobacteriaceae
Description: bacterial LSU rRNA
Rfam family: Bacterial large subunit ribosomal RNA
Source: RNAcentral